Molecule: ribosomal RNA, 462 nt
Filed under: uncultured bacterium
Lineage: Bacteria
Description: bacterial SSU rRNA
Rfam family: Bacterial small subunit ribosomal RNA
Source: RNAcentral
UCGGGAAUCUUGCGCAAUGGGCGAAAGCCUGACGCAACGACGCCGCGUGGGGGAUGAAGGCCUUCGGGUUGUAAACCCCUUUCAGGAGGGAAGAUGGGACGGGCAACCGUUCGGACGGUACCUUCAGAAGCAGCCACGGCUAACUCUGUGCCAGCAGCCGCGGUAAGACAGAGGUGACAAGCGUUGUUCGGAUUUACUGGGCGUAAAGGGUGCGUAGGUGGUUAGGUAAGACCUGCGGGAAAGACCUGGGCUUAACCCAGGAAGGUCGUAGGUGACUGCCUGGCUAGAGGGCGGGAGAGGAGAGCGGAAUUCCCGGUGUAGCGGUGAAAUGCGUAGAGAUCGGGAGGAAGGCCGGUGGCGAAGGCGGCUCUCUGGAACGUUCCUGACACUGAGGCACGAAAGCGUGGGGAGCAAACAGGAUUAGAUACCCACGUAGUCCCUGAGCGGGCUGGCAAGGCGCAU